This 497-nucleotide ribosomal RNA is filed under the name uncultured bacterium. RNAcentral describes it as "partial 16S ribosomal RNA". It matches the Rfam family "Bacterial small subunit ribosomal RNA", at positions 28 to 507 of the family's 1533-position model. The record is from RNAcentral.
GAUGAACGCUGGCGGCGUGCCUAAUACAUGCAAGUCGAGCGACCAGACGAGGAGCUUGCUCCUCUGACGUUAGCGGCGGACGGGUGAGUAACACGUGGAUAACCUACCUAUAAGACUGGGAUAACUUCGGGAAACCGGAGCUAAUACCGGAUAAUAUAUUGAACCGCAUGGUUCAAUAGUGAAAGACGGUUUUGCUGUCACUUAUAGAUGGAUCCGCGCCGCAUUAGCUAGUUGGUAAGGUAACGGCUUACCAAGGCAACGAUGCGUAGCCGACCUGAGAGGGUGAUCGGCCACACUGGAACUGAGACACGGUCCAGACUCCUACGGGAGGCAGCAGUAGGGAAUCUUCCGCAAUGGGCGAAAGCCUGACGGAGCAACGCCGCGUGAGUGAUGAAGGUCUUCGGAUCGUAAAACUCUGUUAUUAGGGAAGAACAAAUGUGUAAGUAACUAUGCACGUCUUGACGGUACCUAAUCAGAAAGCCACGGCUAACUACGUG